Molecule: ribosomal RNA, 461 nt
Filed under: uncultured bacterium
Lineage: Bacteria
Description: bacterial SSU rRNA
Rfam family: Bacterial small subunit ribosomal RNA
Source: RNAcentral
GAUGAACGCUGGCGGCGUGCUUAAUACAUGCAAGUCGAACGGAGACUGUAGCAAUACUGUCUUAGUGGCGAACGGGUGAGUAACGCGUUGGUGACCUGCCCCGAAGAGGGGGAUAACAGUCCGAAAGGAUUGCUAAUACCCCAUGUGGUCGUUUGGAUUAGAUGCCUUACGACUAAACGGAUUUAUUCGCUUCGGGAGGGGCCUGCGUCCCAUCAGCUAGUUGGUAGGGUAAUAGCCUACCAAGGCGAUGACGGGUAGGGGACCUGAGAGGGUGGCCCCCCACAAUGGAACUGAAACACGGUCCAUACACCUACGGGUGGCAGCAGUAGGGAAUAUUAGUAAUGGGCGAAAGCCUGAACUAGCAACGCCGCGUGUGCGAAGAAGGCCUUCGGGUUGUAAAGCACUUUUCGGGAGGAAGAGGAAGGACUGUACUCCCAGAAUAAGCCUCGGCUAACUACGUG